GACGAACGCUGGCGGCGUGCUUAACACAUGCAAGUCGAACGGAAAGGCCCUGCUUUUGUGGGGUGCUCGAGUGGCGAACGGGUGAGUAACACGUGAGUAACCUGCCCUUGACUUUGGGAUAACAUCAGGAAACUGGGGCUAAUAUCCGAUAGGAGCUCCUGCUGCAUGGGGGGGGUUGGAAAGUUUCGGCGGUUGGGGAUGGACUGGCGGCUUAUCGGCUUGUUGGUGGGGUAGUGGCUUACAAAGGCUGUGACGGGUAGCCGGCCUGAGAGGGUGACCGGCGACAUUGGGACUGAGAUACGGCGCAGACUCCUACGGUAGGCAACAGUGGGGAGUAUUGCGGAAUGGGCGGAAGCGUGAUGCAGCAGCGCCGCGUGCGGGAUGACGGCCUUCGGGUUGUGAACCGCUUUCGACUGUAACGAAGCGUGAGUGACGGUAAUGGGUAAAGAAGCACCGGCUAACUACGUG
Molecule: ribosomal RNA, 468 nt
Filed under: uncultured bacterium
Lineage: Bacteria
Description: partial 16S ribosomal RNA
Rfam family: Bacterial small subunit ribosomal RNA
Source: RNAcentral